Molecule: ribosomal RNA, 275 nt
Filed under: Caenorhabditis sinica
Lineage: Eukaryota; Metazoa; Nematoda; Chromadorea; Rhabditida; Rhabditidae
Description: partial 28S ribosomal RNA
Rfam family: Eukaryotic large subunit ribosomal RNA
Source: RNAcentral
CUCAACCUGAACUCAGUCGUGAUUACCCGCUGAACUUAAGCAUAUCAUUUAGCGGAGGAAAAGAAACUAAACAGGAUUCCCUUAGUAACGGCGAGUGAAACGGGAAGAGCCCAGCGCCGAAUCGUUCAGUCUUUGGCUGCUACGAAAUGUGGCGUAUAGGUGUAGUCUUCCAGCAGUGUCGUGAGUCCGAAGUCCUUACGAUUGAGGCCAUAAGCCAGAGAGGGUGCGAGCCCCGUCCUGGAUUGCGGCACUGUUGGUUUCGAUUGCUCCUUGGA